RNAcentral lists this ribosomal RNA (253 nucleotides) under uncultured bacterium. RNAcentral's name for it is "partial 16S ribosomal RNA". It matches the Rfam family "Bacterial small subunit ribosomal RNA", at positions 524 to 776 of the family's 1533-position model. The record is from RNAcentral.
UACGAAGGGGGCUAGCGUUGCUCGGAAUCACUGGGCGUAAAGGGUGCGUAGGCGGUCUAUUAAGUCAGCGGUGAAAUACUCCAGCUUAACUGGAGGGGUGCCAUUGAUACUGAUGGACUUGAGUCAAGUCGAGGUAGGCGGAAUUGACGGUGUAGCGGUGAAAUGCUUAGAUAUCGUCAAGAACACCAAUAGUGAAGACAGCUUACUGGGCUUAAACUGACGCUGAGGCACGAAAGUGUGGGGAUCAAACAGG